Molecule: long non-coding RNA, 321 nt
Filed under: Sorghum bicolor (sorghum)
Lineage: Eukaryota; Viridiplantae; Streptophyta; Magnoliopsida; Poales; Poaceae
Description: long non-coding RNA (SBIC_LNC017706)
Source: RNAcentral
GCUUUAGGGAAUAAUGACAUUGAUGCAUAACCAAUGUAGUAAGUUGCAUGAUUAAGAAUGAUUGGCAUCAUGAUAUGAGAUUCAUGAUUUGACAGAUAACCAUUAUGCAACCCAACAUCUGGUUCUUAGGACAAGGAUCAUGAUACGAGAUUGUACCACAGAGUUGGUAGAUAUGAUCAUGUCUUUAGGAACAGGAUGAUUUUUUUUUUUUAGUAGCAAAGGGUCCAAAAGAAUUUGGGCAAAGCUCAAACCAGGACAUAUCAUGGGCAAAAGUUGAUAUUCAAGAGAACCCAACGAGGUUUGGUUAGGUACAGAUGCAUA